Molecule: ribosomal RNA, 462 nt
Filed under: uncultured bacterium
Lineage: Bacteria
Description: partial 16S ribosomal RNA
Rfam family: Bacterial small subunit ribosomal RNA
Source: RNAcentral
GACGAACGCUGGCGGCGUGCUUAACACAUGCAAGUCGAGCGGAAAGGCCCUUCGGGGUACUCGAGCGGCGAGCGGGUGAGUAACACGUGAGUAACCUGCCCCAGACUUUGGGAUAACCCUCGGAAACGGGGGCUAAUACCGGAUACGACACAGCUUCGCAUGGGGUCUGUGUGGAAAGUUUUUCGGUUUGGGAUGGGCUCGCGGCCUAUCAGCUUGUUGGUGGGGUGAUGGCCUACCAAGGCGACGACGGGUAGCCGGCCUGAGAGGGCGACCGGCCACACUGGGACUGAGACACGGCCCAGACUCCUACGGGAGGCAGCAGUGGGGAAUAUUGCACAAUGGGCGGAAGCCUGAUGCAGCGACGCCGCGUGAGGGAUGACGGCCUUCGGGUUGUAAACCUCUUUCAGCAGGGACGAAGCGUAAGUGACGGUACCUGCAGAAGAAGCGCCGGCCAACUACGUG